AUGACUGAGAGCUGCAGCUCCAUAACUUUACCCACAGCAACCAUGACUUUGAUCAGCGUCUUCAUCUGCACACUGGCCCUCUGGACUCAAGGAUCCAGAGGUCAGGGGACUGUGACUCAGACUCCUUCAGUGGAAACUGUUGUUCCAGGAAACACAGUCACCAUCAACUGUAGAUUCAGCAUUGCUGUUUGGCAUGACUGUGGGCCAACUGGUGUAUCAUAUGACUGUCUAGCCUGGUACCUUCAGAAACCUGGAGAAGCUCCUAAACUCCUAGUGCGCUAUGCGAGUCACCUGUUCUCAGGAACUCCAGCUCGUUUCAGCGGCAGUGGAUCUAAGACGGACUUCACUCUGACCAUCAGUGGAGUCCAGGCUGAAGAUGCAGGAGAUUACUACUGUCAGAGUACACAUAAGAUCAGUGGUAGCUAUGUGUUCACACAGUGUUAGAGCGCCGUACAAAAACCUCGGUCAGGGAGAGUGCACAGAGAAGCUCUGCUGCAGCUGGGAGCGACUGCAGGUGCUGAGGGGGAAGAAGUGAUACAGCACAAUGACACACAAUGUGGACGAGAGAAAACACACCACACUAACUCACUAAAGCACACACACACACACACACACAUCUGUCAGAGGAGUCCACUUUAUUCAUCUGUCAGUACAGUCAACACACACACACA
Molecule: non-coding RNA, 671 nt
Organism: Ictalurus furcatus (blue catfish)
Lineage: Eukaryota; Metazoa; Chordata; Actinopteri; Siluriformes; Ictaluridae
Source: the annotation of a RefSeq genome assembly